GAUGAACGCUAGCGGCAGGCUUAACACAUGCAAGUCGAGGGGUAACAGGGGAGCUUGCUUCCGCUGACGACCGGCGCACGGGUGCGUAACGCGUAUAGAACCUACCUUUUACAGAGGAAUAGCCUUUAGAAAUGAAGAUUAAUGCCUCAUGGUAUUGAGUUUUGGCAUCAGAACUUAAUUAAAGAUUUAUCGGUAAAAGAUGGCUAUGCGUCCUAUUAGCUAGAUGGUAAGGUAACGGCUUACCAUGGCGAUGAUAGGUAGGGGUCCUGAGAGGGAGAUCCCCCACACUGGUACUGAGACACGGACCAG
Molecule: ribosomal RNA, 309 nt
Filed under: uncultured Polaribacter sp.
Lineage: Bacteria; Pseudomonadati; Bacteroidota; Flavobacteriia; Flavobacteriales; Flavobacteriaceae
Description: bacterial SSU rRNA
Rfam family: Bacterial small subunit ribosomal RNA
Source: RNAcentral